RNAcentral lists this ribosomal RNA (783 nucleotides) under uncultured bacterium. RNAcentral describes it as "bacterial SSU rRNA". It matches the Rfam family "Bacterial small subunit ribosomal RNA", at positions 551 to 1339 of the family's 1533-position model. The record is from RNAcentral.
UUACUGGGCGUAAAGCGUGCGCAGGCGGUUAUGCAAGACAGAUGUGAAAUCCCCGGGCUCAACCUGGGAACUGCAUUUGUGACUGCAUGGCUAGAGUGCGGCAGAGGGGGAUGGAAUUCCGCGUGUAGCAGUGAAAUGCGUAGAUAUGCGGAGGAACACCGAUGGCGAAGGCAAUCCCCUGGGCCUGCACUGACGCUCAUGCACGAAAGCGUGGGGAGCAAACAGGAUUAGAUACCCUGGUAGUCCACGCCCUAAACGAUGUCAACUGGUUGUUGGGAGGGUUUCUUCUCAGUAACGAAGCUAACGCGUGAAGUUGACCGCCUGGGGAGUACGGCCGCAAGGUUGAAACUCAAAGGGAUUGACGGGGACCCGCACAAGCGGUGGAUGAUGUGGUUUAAUUCGAUGCAACGCGAAAAACCUUACCUACCCUUGACAUGUCUGGAAUCCUGAAGAGAUUUAGGAGUGCUCGAAAGAGAGCCAGAACACAGGUGCUGCAUGGCCGUCGUCAGCUCGUGUCGUGAGAUGUUGGGUUAAGUCCCGCAACGAGCGCAACCCUUGUCAUUAGUUGCUACGAAAGGGCACUCUAAUGAGACUGCCGGUGACAAACCGGAGGAAGGUGGGGAUGACGUCAGGUCCUCAUGGCCCUUAUGGGUAGGGCUACACACGUCAUACAAUGGCCGGUACAGAGGGCUGCCAACCCGCGAGGGGGAGCCAAUCCCAGAAAACCGGUCGUAGUCCGGAUCGCAGUCUGCAACUCGACUGCGUGAAGUCGGAAUCGCUAGU